CUUUUUCUUUUUCUUUUUCUUUUUGGGUGGGGGCUUAGCUCGCUGACGCAGAGGGUGGGGUAGACUUAGGCGACGGAGCGGCGGCGGCCGGGCGUAGGAGGCGGCGCGGCACGACGACAGGAGGGGCGUGGGGCCGGACGGAGGAGAGGCGGCGCGGGAGGAGGGGCGAGGCACGACGGCAGGAGGGGCGUGGGGCCGGACGGAGGAGAGGCGGCGCGGGAGGAGGGGCGCGGCAGGUUCAGGAGCGGGCCAAGCGGCUGCGGCUCCGGGUCCGGCGGCGCGAGGCCCGGACGUGGCCGCCCGAGCUCGUGCGCGGCGGUUGGCGCUGCCCGACGAGUUGUGCGAGGCGCGGCGGUGCCAUUUGCCGGCCCUCCUCCUCCUCCUGCGCGUCCUCCGUCCCGCCACAGUCUUAGCGCGCGCAACCUAGGCCGGCUACCAAUGCCGCUGUGCCUGCGCCUACGAGACCGGCGCCGGCGGCGCGAGAUACGGGGCGGGGACGAACGGCUCGGGACGGAGAGGCCUAGAGGUCGGUACAUACUACGACCCCUGGAACGUCCAGGUACGAGCAGCCGCUCCCCCUCGCGUCUGUCGUCGGAUCGGGCAGUGGCAGUCAUUGUACCGUCAUCCGGAGAAGAGGGGAAGAGUUAAAUGUCGUCGUACGGUGUGAGAGUCCGAGGACAGGGGGCAGCAAUCGUGUGGCUAAGUCUCCGUCUCCGACUGAACGUCGAGCACCUGUGUCUCCUCCUUCGGAUUCUAGUUAGAGUUUUCAACAAUAGUAACAAGAGUCGGUCGCUACGUAUCCCCUUAACAAACGAGUAGAUACACAAUUUUAGACCUGGAGAAGUAGUUGCUGAAGUUAUUCCUACUCUAGUUCGACGCAGACGACGAGACAGGUGGUGUUGUUAAAACCUUACGUAAUUGAAAAUAGACGGGUCCAACUUAGGAAGUAAGGAGUAAGAGUAGGAUUAAAGAACUACAACCCGUUCUGUGAGGUCUACUCAACGAUUGUAGUUUUCCGAAGUCAAGAUUGAUCUUCUUUAAAACGAAUCCUUAUAAAAUAGUCAAAACACCAGUUAAUUAGUUGACCACAAUGUUAUUUUCGUUCUUUCACUACGUUCAAGAAACCCUAUAUACGUGACCUUUUAUAUACUUGUGACAACCGGGUUUUAGUGUCCCGGGGUGAUUUAACAACCGGUAAACCGGAGUACUAAAAUUACUAUUAGCAAGAUGGUACUUAAAACAGAAGGCGAUCGUAAAGUUGUCAUGACACACGACAUCGUCAUAUGUAGACUUUCUCAAAGGAGGAUACGGUACCUAGGCCACAUCGCGAGGUCACUCUUUAUUAGUUACCACAUGAAUAGGGGAAAUGUACAAGAAAUAAAUGUAAAAAAUGUAACUUAAGAUUCGAUUCACGAAUCAGAAAACAAUGAACGUCGGAACGUCCGUCCUUGUACUCGUAAGUAUAGACCCUCAAGGCUUCUUCCGCAACUGGGGUAAUAUAUAUAACGACGAGAGACGGUCUUUGGUUUGUUUAUUGUGAAGAUACUACGACGAGUGACUAACUAUGAUUUAUGCUCAUAUACCGAACAAGAGCUCCUAUCAAUAGUGAAAAACUAAGUAUACCUUAAACUCCUAUACCUACUGUGACCAAACAAAGAAAGUGAUGAUUUUAAGACAGGUGGUAAUCGAAUGCCCGUUACGAGGUCUAGGUGCGCUUGUACGGGCUCAUUUACGAGAAAUACUAAGGUACAAGAAUACAUUAUUCUGAACUACACAAAAUAGAAGGUUAUUAAGUCUGUGCCCGGAAGGUGUUGAACUAUGUUCGACGACUGUUCUCAAUCUCCCAAUCCAAACUAUAAUAAUAAACAACAUACUGAUAAACAAGAGUAAUACCGUGUGGAAUAAAUAGAAAAUAAGUCAAUGUAUCGAACGGACAUAAUGAAGUUUGUAUUAAUAUGACACAUGUAAAUCACCUAUGAUAACAACUCAUUUUUGCUUUAAGCUUGAAGUUUAAUGUAUGACCUAAAUCUAACAAAGGAAUCUUUGGUUCUCAAGAAAAAAACUACUUUGACGGUCUAACCGAAAAGUAAGUACUUCUUCCCCACAUCAUGUUCCACAAAGAGUUUUUAUGUCCCAUCAUCUCGACGUAUGCUUGACAUACGUCCUUUGUAUGUCACCUUGUAUUGACUUCGUAGAGAUUAGACAGAGGGAACCAAAAACUUAGUCGACCAAUUUUGGGUUCUAUAGUAAACGCCAAGGGUCAUCAACAAAUGAUCUCCAUAGGUGCUAGGAAAUCUUUAAUCUUCACUAUUCUUUUUUUUCACCUUGACUUGACUUCGAUAAAGACAAUCAUAACAGAUGCAGAGGAACUGGAAAGUGCCCUUAGACUACAUUGGUAGGACGUUGGACGUUUAUGAUAUCUACUAUACGUCUCUUCUAAAGUUAUAAUGAAUAAUGACGGAAUCAUGGUACGGAAAGAAGAGAUGUAUUUAGUAAAUAUUUCGACAUCCUCCUCGAGUCGAAUGUAUAUACUUAUAGGCUGAUUAACGGAAUGGUGAUUAAUCAACGGUGUGACGUUGAUGACUGUCACCUAUGACUGUAGAAUAAGAGAACCAUCUCAAGUUUUGUUGUACUUAGUUCGACUACUUUAAGUCAACAUAAAAAAAGAAAAGGCUGGUACAUCAAAAAAAUUGACGAGACUUCCAGGAGAGUAUAUAUUAAUUCGAGUGUGUGUUUACAGGAACAUGCAUGAUAUCUUAGUAUAUCGACUGUUAUAACUUGAAAAGACAACAUUAUUCUUAUAGUUCGUAAUAAAACAGUAACCACAAAGUCAAACAGCCAAUGUCCAUAUAGUAAGGUUAUAAGUAUGAUAUCUUCAACAACAGUCCCUCACGCUCUCCCCAUCGUCUCACCGGUCACUCCCCUCGUGGUAGUGCCCUCGACACAAUUAUCUUCCGUUGCAGCUCUUCUACAGCUGUUGGAGGCACCUACUCGCCACCAACACUCUCAAACGGUUCCUUCCGGAUGAGCUAGUACCUCACCGAUAGCGACGUUUUCCGCUGCGAUCGUUGUCUCUGUCGGUAGGUAAACACGGUGGUAGUUAUUGUUGCAACAUUGUUCGUACCGAGACGUGACCAACGACUUCGUCAUCUCACCGAAUACAGUACAUCCGUUGACCACCGAUGUUCCUAGGCAUGCAUUUGUACCAGAUGAAGGAGUAGGAUUGUGUCUCGUUUAGUACCGUGUUCGUUAGUACCGUCCUCCCCCCAAUUUGCCCUAGACUGGAUCUAGCCCCUCUCUCUUUCUCCUUGAGUAGCGCCACCGGCCGGAGGGAGCGUGGUAAGCGG
Molecule: ribosomal RNA, 3347 nt
Filed under: Triticum aestivum (bread wheat)
Lineage: Eukaryota; Viridiplantae; Streptophyta; Magnoliopsida; Poales; Poaceae
Description: partial small subunit ribosomal RNA
Source: RNAcentral